UUUUAGGUAUGUUCUGCUCAAUGCACAAAUUAAAUAGCUGCAGUAAAUUAACUGUACUAAGGUAGCAUAAUAAAUUGCUUUAUAAUUAAAAGCUUGAAUGAAAGAAACAAUGUGAAACAAACUUUUUUUAUUAAAAUAGUAAAAAUUAAUAUUUAAGUGAAAAAUCUUAAAUUAUAUCAAAAGACAAGAAGACCCUUUAGAACUUUACAAGCCAAGCUAGCUUUACUAUAAUAUCUUGUUAAAUUGGGGAGAUUUUUAAAUAAAUAAAUCUUUAAAUAUACUAAAAUGACUUAAUUCAAAUUAAAUUAUCCAGACAUGAAAUAAAACAAGUUACCUAAGGGAUAACAGCGCAAAAUUUUUGAAAAGAUCCAAUUUACAAAAUAAGUUGCGACCUCGAUGUUGGAUUAAGAA
RNAcentral lists this ribosomal RNA (411 nucleotides) under Bemisia formosana. RNAcentral describes it as "partial 16S ribosomal RNA". Lineage: Eukaryota; Metazoa; Arthropoda; Insecta; Hemiptera; Aleyrodidae. The record is from RNAcentral.